RNAcentral lists this ribosomal RNA (245 nucleotides) under uncultured bacterium. RNAcentral's name for it is "partial 16S ribosomal RNA". It matches the Rfam family "Bacterial small subunit ribosomal RNA", at positions 524 to 768 of the family's 1533-position model. The record is from RNAcentral.
UACGGAGGGUGCAAGCGUUAUCCGGAUUCACUGGGUUUAAAGGGUGUGUAGGCGGGCAGGUAAGUCAGUGGUGAAAUCUCCGAGCUUAACUCGGAAACUGCCAUUGAUACUAUUUGUCUUGAAUUUUGUUGAGGUGGGCGGAAUAUGUCAUGUAGCGGUGAAAUGCAUAGAUAUGACAUAGAACACCGAUUGCGAAGGCAGCUCACUAAGCAAGUAUUGACGCUGAGGCACGAAAGCGUGGGGAU